This 466-nucleotide ribosomal RNA is filed under the name uncultured bacterium. RNAcentral's name for it is "partial 16S ribosomal RNA". It matches the Rfam family "Bacterial small subunit ribosomal RNA", at positions 28 to 507 of the family's 1533-position model. The record is from RNAcentral.
GAUGAACGCUGGCGGCGUGCUUAACACAUGCAAGUCGAACGGAAAGGCUCCUGCUUGCCGGGGUUCUCGAGUGGCGAACGGGUGAGUAACACGUGGGUGAUCUGCCCUGCACUUCGGGAUAAGCUUGGGAAACUGGGUCUAAUACCGGAUAGGACCGCUUUUUGGAUGGUGUGGUGGAAAGUUUUUUCGGUGUGGGAUGAGCUCGCGGCCUAUCAGCUUGUUGGUGGGGUAAUGGCCUACCAAGGCGUCGACGGGUAGCCGGCCUGAGAGGGUGUACGGCCACAUUGGGACUGAGAUACGGCCCAGACCCCUACGGGAGGCAGCAGUGGGGAAUAUUGCAGAAUGGGCGCAAGCCUGAUGCAGCGACGCCGCGUGGGGGAUGACGGCCUUCGGGUUGUAAACUCCUUUCGCUAGGGACGAAGAGUAAUUGACGGUACCUGGAGAAGAAGCACCGGCUAACUACGUG